This is a long non-coding RNA of Symphalangus syndactylus (siamang), 1079 nucleotides long. RefSeq lists it as uncharacterized. Lineage: Eukaryota; Metazoa; Chordata; Mammalia; Primates; Hylobatidae. The record is from RefSeq and is a predicted model, not a curated record.
GAGGCUCCAGACAGCCUGAAGGUAGAAAGUGCUCAGAAGAGCAAGGCAAGCCUCCCCCAGGAGGGUAGGAGGUGGUAGGCACUUACACUUAGUGCCAGCCAACUCCUUAACGUCCCAGCCAACUUCCUGGGAUGGCCAGUCCCAGGAAACCACAUGUUUUUAUGCUCAAGCUCUUAAAACAUUGUCGUAAGUAAAUCGAAUUUUUGUCCUGCCCUCUCUGCUUACCAGACCAAGAGCAACGAUUAUGAAUGGCAAGUGGCAAGAAACGGGGUGGAGAAAAACGUCACCAGUGAAGAUGGAAAUGUGUCUGAGAGGAUGAGGCCCAGAUCCCCUAGGAACCGGCCUGUCUGACCAGCCCAGUAGCAUCUCUCUCAAUUGGAUGGUGAUCCCCCAAAGACAUGUCUACACCUAACAACCGGACCCUCUGAAUGUGUCCUCAUUUGGAAAAAGGGUCUUUGCAGGUGCCAUUAAGUUAAAGAUCUUGUGACGAGGAGACCAUCCUGCAUUACCCAGGUGAGCCCUAAAUCCAAUAACAAGUGUCCUUUAAGAGGCAGAGAGAGACCUGGCACAGUGGCUGUCACCUGAAAUCCUAGCACUUUGGGAGGCCAAGGUGGGAGGAUCACUUGAGGUCACGAGUUCGAAACCAGACUGGCCAACAUGGUGAAACCCUGUCUCUACUAAAAAUACAAAAAUUAGCCGGGUAUGAUGGUGGGUGCCUGUAAUCCCAGCUACUCGGGAGGCUGAGGCAGGAGAAUUUCUUGAACCCAGGAGUUAGAGGCUGCAGUGAGCCGAGAUCGUGUCACUGCACUCCAGCCUGGGUGAUAGAGUGAGACUCCGUAGCAAAAAAAAAAAAGGCAGAAGAGAAGACACAGAGAGUAGGAGACCACGUGAAGAUAGAAGCAGAGACUGGAGUGGUGCAGCCACCAGGAACGCCUGGAGCCACCGGACACUGGGACUUCAGGGGCAAGGGAGGAUUCCCGCAUGGAGCCUCCGGCGGGAGCAUGGCCCUGCCAACUCCUUGAUUUUGGGCUUCUUGCCUCCAGAACAGUGAGAGAAUAAAGGACUCUUGUUAGAAGCCA